CGUAUAGCGAAAUCGUGUAUAUCGAGUAUGGCGUAUAUCGGGGAAUACCUGUAUAGUCACACGAGAAAGGCGCUGCUUCGCGUUCACAUGAAAAUGUGGUAGUGUGAAAUCAAGUUUGCAAGCAGUAGGACACGUCGGUGUGUGUCCGUUUUUUUCUCUCGUGAAACCAGUACGGAAAAACUAUUUGAAAUCGUAACACACGCACGAACGGAAGUGAGCACGGACCACGACAGAAGCAAUAUUCAAUUGGUUGGAGUGCCGAAAACAGAAGAGGAGAUGAAAGAAGGCAGGAACGAUCCGAUCCUCCAACGUGCUAGCGCCGGGUAGAGGAGAAGCGGCA
Molecule: long non-coding RNA, 340 nt
Organism: Anopheles merus
Lineage: Eukaryota; Metazoa; Arthropoda; Insecta; Diptera; Culicidae
Exons: 3
Source: RefSeq, a predicted model, not a curated record